This 572-nucleotide ribosomal RNA is filed under the name uncultured Comamonadaceae bacterium. RNAcentral describes it as "bacterial SSU rRNA". It matches the Rfam family "Bacterial small subunit ribosomal RNA", at positions 351 to 916 of the family's 1533-position model. Lineage: Bacteria; Pseudomonadati; Pseudomonadota; Betaproteobacteria; Burkholderiales; Comamonadaceae. The record is from RNAcentral.
GCAGUGGGGAAUUUUGGACAAUGGGCGCAAGCCUGAUCCAGCCAUGCCGCGUGCGGGAAGAAGGCCUUCGGGUUGUAAACCGCUUUUGUCAGGGAAGAAAUCUUCUGGGUUAAUACCUCGGGAGGAUGACGGUACCUGAAGAAUAAGCACCGGCUAACUACGUGCCAGCAGCCGCGGUAAUACGUAGGGUGCGAGCGUUAAUCGGAAUUACUGGGCGUAAAGCGUGCGCAGGCGGUCUUGCAAGACAGGUGUGAAAUCCCCGGGCUUAACCUGGGAACUGCACUUGUGACUGCAAGGCUGGAGUACGGCAGAGGGGGAUGGAAUUCCGCGUGUAGCAGUGAAAUGCGUAGAUAUGCGGAGGAACACCGAUGGCGAAGGCAAUCCCCUGGGCCUGUACUGACGCUCAUGCACGAAAGCGUGGGGAGCAAACAGGAUUAGAUACCCUAGUAGUCCACGCCCUAAACGAUGUCAACUGGUUGUUGGACGGCUUGCUGUUCAGUAACGAAGCUAACGCGUGAAGUUGACCGCCUGGGGAGUACGGCCGCAAGGUUGAAACUCAAAGGAAUUGACGG